UACAGAGGGGGCAAGCGUUGUUCGGAAUUACUGGGCGUAAAGGGCGCGUAGGCGGCCUGCUAAGUCGAACGUGAAAUCCCCGGGCUCAACUGGGGAGGGUCACGCGAUACUGCUCGACUCGAAGGCAGGAGAGGGAAGUGGAAUUCCCGGUGUAGUGGUGAAAUGCGUAGAUAUCGGGAGGAACACCAGUGGCGAAGGCGACUUCCUGGCCUGUUCUUGACGCUGAGGCGCGAAAGCUAGGGUAGCAAACGGG
Molecule: ribosomal RNA, 253 nt
Filed under: uncultured bacterium
Lineage: Bacteria
Description: partial 16S ribosomal RNA
Rfam family: Bacterial small subunit ribosomal RNA
Source: RNAcentral